CCUACGGGAGGCAGCAGUGGGGAAUAUUGGACAAUGGGCGAAAGCCUGAUCCAGCAAUGCCGCGUGUGUGAAGAAGGCCUGCGGGUUGUAAAGCACUUUCAGUUGGGAAGAUAAUGACGUUACCAACAGAAGAAGCACCGGCUAAAUCCGUGCCAGCAGCCGCGGUAAUACGGAUGGUGCGAGCGUUAAUCGGAAUUACUGGGCGUAAAGCGCGCGUAGGCGGCUAAGUCAGUCAGAAGUGAAAGCCCCGGGCUCAACCUGGGAAUUGCUUUUGAUACUGCUUAGCUAGAGUUUGGUAGAGGAUAGUGGAAUUCCAGGUGUAGCGGUGAAAUGCGUAGAUAUCUGGAGGAACAUCAGUGGCGAAGGCGACUGUCUGGACCAAAACUGACGCUGAGGUGCGAAAGCGUGGGUAGCAAACAGGAUUAGAUACCCUGGUAG
This 438-nucleotide ribosomal RNA is filed under the name uncultured Gammaproteobacteria bacterium. RNAcentral describes it as "bacterial SSU rRNA". It matches the Rfam family "Bacterial small subunit ribosomal RNA", at positions 338 to 793 of the family's 1533-position model. Lineage: Bacteria; Pseudomonadati; Pseudomonadota; Gammaproteobacteria. The record is from RNAcentral.